Molecule: unclassified non-coding RNA, 246 nt
Filed under: Dendryphiella vinosa
Lineage: Eukaryota; Fungi; Ascomycota; Dothideomycetes; Pleosporales; Dictyosporiaceae
Description: partial contains 5.8S ribosomal RNA, internal transcribed spacer 2, and large subunit ribosomal RNA
Source: RNAcentral
CGCACAUUGCGCCCCUUGGUAUUCCAUGGGGCAUGCCUGUUCGAGCGUCAUUUACACCCUCAAGCAUAGCUUGGUGUUGGGCGUUUGUCCAUUCCUCCGCGUAUGGACUCGCCCUAAAGUUAUUGGCAGCAGUCUUAUCGGCUCCUCGCGCAGCACACCGCGCUGAAAGGGUCGGGGGAUAUGCGUCCAUUAAGAUCUACCACUUAGUUUGACCUCGGAUCAGGUAGGGAUACCCGCUGAACUUAA